AGCUUUGCACAGUGGCAGUAUCGUAGCCAAUGAGGUUUAUCCGAGGCAGGAUUAUUGCUAAUUAAAAAAAGCUGCCCACAACAGAGUCAUUUUUAGGUAAAAUGGCGGAGAUCUGUAGAUGUUCACCCAACC
Mustela putorius furo (domestic ferret) is the source of this 132-nucleotide non-coding RNA. The record is from Rfam. Lineage: Eukaryota; Metazoa; Chordata; Mammalia; Carnivora; Mustelidae.